AGUCGAACGGCAGCACGGACUUCGGUCUGGUAUGGAGUAGUGAACGGGUGAGUAAUGUAUCGGAAACGCCUAGUAGUGGGGAUAACUACGCGAAAGCGUAGCUAAUACCGCAUACGCCUUCGGGGGAAAGCGGGGACUUUCGUCUGCACUAUUAGAGCAUGUAUUAUCGGAUUACUAGUUGGUGGGGUAACGCCCAUCACUAAGGCGACGAUCCAGCGGCUACAGAGAUGUGGACGACCAGCCACACCGGGACUGAGACAUGGCCCAGACUCCUACGGAUGCGCAGUGGGAAUUUUGGACAAUGGGGAAACUCCGAUCCAGCCAUCCUGGCGUGUGGUGAUGAAGGCCUGCCAAAGCACCUUUUACAGGAAAGAAACGGCACGGGAUAAUACCUGCAACUGACGGUACCUGCAGAAUAAGCACCGGCUAAAUCUCGCUGCGCCAGCAGCCGCGGUAAUACGUAGGGUGCAAGCAAGCGUUAAUUCGGAAUUACUGGGCGUAAAGCGUGCAGUAAGUGUUCGGAAAGAAAAGAUGUGAAAUCAGAGCUUAACUUUGGAACUGCAUUUUUAACUACUGAGCUAGAGUGUCAGAGGGAGGUGGAAUUCCGCGUAGUAGUGAAAUGCGUGAUAUGCGGAGGAACACCGAUGGCUAAGAAGGCCUCCAGAUAAUACUGACGUCUAUGACGAAAGCGUGGGGAGCAAACAGGAUUAGAUACUCCCGGUAGUCCACGCCCUAAACGAUGUCAACUAGCUGUUGGGGCCUCGCCUGGUAGCGCAGCUAACGCGUGAAGUUGACCGCCUGGGGAGAGUACGGUCGCAAGAUUAAAACUCAAAGGAAUUGACGGGGACCCGCACAAGCGGUGGAUGAUGUGGAUUAAUUCGAUGCAACGCGAAAACCUUACCUACCCUUGACAUGUCUGGAAUCCCGAAGAGAUUUGGGAGUGCUCGCACAGAACUGAACACAGGUGCUGCAUGGCUGUCGUCAGCUCGUGUCGUGAGAUGUUGGGUUAAGUCCCAACGAGCGCAACCCUUGUCAUUAGUUGCUACGAAAGGGCACUCUAAUGAGACUGCCGGUGACAAACCGAGGAAGGUGGGGAUGACGUCAAGUCCUCAUGGCCCUUAUGGGUAGGGCUUCACACGUCAUACAAUGGUCGGGACAGAGGGUCGCUAACCCGCGAGGGGGAGCCAAUCUCAGAAACCCGAUCGUGUCCGGAUCGCAGUCUGCAACUCGACCUGCAGGAAGUCGAAUCGCAGACCAGGAUCAGCAUGUCGCGGGUGAAUAUGUUCGGGUCUUGCAAGACACCGCCCGUCACACCAUGGGAGUGGGUUUUACCAGAAGUAAAGUAGCCUAACCGUAAGGAGGCGAUUACCACGGCAGGAUUCAUGACUGGGGUGAAGUCGUAACAAGGUAACCCUGUUACUACCUG
Molecule: ribosomal RNA, 1426 nt
Filed under: uncultured Bordetella sp.
Lineage: Bacteria; Pseudomonadati; Pseudomonadota; Betaproteobacteria; Burkholderiales; Alcaligenaceae
Description: partial 16S-23S ribosomal RNA intergenic spacer
Rfam family: Bacterial small subunit ribosomal RNA
Source: RNAcentral